Molecule: ribosomal RNA, 440 nt
Filed under: uncultured bacterium
Lineage: Bacteria
Description: partial 16S ribosomal RNA
Rfam family: Bacterial small subunit ribosomal RNA
Source: RNAcentral
CCUACGGGUGGCAGCAGUAGGGAAUAUUGCACAAUGGGGGAAACCCUGAUGCAGCAACGCCGCGUGGGUGAAGAAGUAUUUCGUUAUGUAAAGCUCUAUCAGCAGGGAAGAAAAUGACGGUAUCUAACGAAUAAGCCCCGGCUAACUCCGUGCCAGCAGCCGCGGUAAUACGGAGGGGGCAAGCGUUAUCCGGAUUUACUGGGUGUAAAGGGAGCGUAGACGGGAAGGCAAGUCAGAAGUGAAAGCCCGUGGCUUAACCACGGAACUGCUUUUUAAACUGUGUUUCUGGAGUGCAGGAGGGGUAAGUGGAAUUCUUAGUGUAGCGGUGAAAUGCGUAGAGAUUAAGAGGAAUACUCGUGGCGAAGGCGACCUACUAGAACGUAACUGACGCUGAUGCUCGAAGGCGUGGGGAGCAAACAGGAUUAGAUACCCGAGUAGUC